RNAcentral lists this transfer RNA (84 nucleotides) under Felis catus (domestic cat). It matches the Rfam family "tRNA". Rfam says of the family: Transfer RNA (tRNA) molecules are approximately 80 nucleotides in length. Their secondary structure includes four short double-helical elements and three loops (D, anti-codon, and T loops). The record is from Rfam by way of RNAcentral. Lineage: Eukaryota; Metazoa; Chordata; Mammalia; Carnivora; Felidae.
GCCUGGGUGGCUAGUCGGUUAAGCAUCUGACUUCGGCUCAGGUCAUGAUCUCAUGGUUCGUGAGUUCAAGUCCCGCAUCAGGCU